AUGGCUGCCUCUGCCGCCGCCGACGACAUUGCCGAGCUUGCGAUCACCUCGCUUCCCCUCGACACAUGGUUCCGCCCGUUCCAUCUGAGGCAGUACGGCGGGUUCUGGCUCCUGGAGGAGUUCCUCAUGGCCGCUCCGGCCAUCCACUCGGUCUUCAAGCUGAGGCCCUCGGACGUCCUCCUUGCCAGCUUCCCCAAGUGCGGCACCACCUGGCUCAAGGCCCUCGCCUUCGCCACGCGCAACCGGGCCGAGCACCCGCCGCGUGACCCCGACCACCCGCUCCGCCGUGGCAACCCCCACGACGUCGUCAAGUACUUGGAGGUGGCGUUCGGGCAGCCGAUGGGCGACAGUGGAGCAGGCGAUGUCUUCGCGGCGCUCCCUUCGCCACGCGUGCUCGCCACACACCUCCCCUGCUCUCUCCUGCCACGGCGCAUGACCGCGGAGGAGUCCGACUGCCGGAUCGUGUACAUCUGCCGGGACCCAAAGGAUGCGCUCGUCUCCUCGUGGUUCUUCGCCAAGAAGGGGGCGGCCGCCAUUGCACUAACACUAGCACGAGCCGACAAGGACAUGGACAUGCAGCAACAGCCGCCGCCGCCGUACACAUUCGAGGAGGCGUUCGAGCUGUUCUGCGAUGGCAUAUGCGUCAGCGGCCCGCAGUGGCGCCACGUGCUGGGCUACUGGGAGAUGAGCAGGAAGCGGCCGGAGAAGGUGCUCUUCCUCCGGUACGAGGAGAUGCUCCGGGACCCGUGA
RNAcentral lists this ribosomal RNA (750 nucleotides) under Triticum aestivum (bread wheat). Its description in RNAcentral is "partial small subunit ribosomal RNA". Lineage: Eukaryota; Viridiplantae; Streptophyta; Magnoliopsida; Poales; Poaceae. The record is from RNAcentral.